CGCGGGAUAGAGAAGCAGUAUCUCGGGAGGCUCAUAACCUCCAGUCGUUGGUGCAAUUCCAGCUCCCGCAACAA
RNAcentral lists this transfer RNA (74 nucleotides) under Candidatus Tayloriibacteriota bacterium. RNAcentral describes it as "tRNA-Met". It matches the Rfam family "tRNA". From Rfam's summary of the family: Transfer RNA (tRNA) molecules are approximately 80 nucleotides in length. Their secondary structure includes four short double-helical elements and three loops (D, anti-codon, and T loops). Lineage: Bacteria; Candidatus Tayloriibacteriota. The record is from RNAcentral.